ACGGUAGCUCAAUGGUAGAGCAUUUGCGCUGCAUGCAGAAAUUUCCAGGUUCAAUCCCUAAUAUCUCUA
This is a non-coding RNA of Podarcis lilfordi (Lilford's wall lizard), 69 nucleotides long. NCBI's taxonomy places the organism in Eukaryota, Metazoa, Chordata, Lepidosauria, Squamata, Lacertidae. The record is from the annotation of a GenBank genome assembly.